RNAcentral lists this ribosomal RNA (227 nucleotides) under uncultured bacterium. RNAcentral's name for it is "partial 16S ribosomal RNA". It matches the Rfam family "Bacterial small subunit ribosomal RNA", at positions 109 to 334 of the family's 1533-position model. The record is from RNAcentral.
CGGAACACGUACAGAACCUUCCUUUAAGCGGGGGAGUAGCCCAUAGAAAUGUGGAUUAAUACCCCAUAGUAAUGCUGGUUGGCAUCAACUGGUAUUUAAAGAUUUAUCACUUAAAGAUGGCUGUGCGGCUGAUUAGGUAGUUGGUGUGGGUAACGGCCCACCAAGCCAGCGAUCAGUAACUGGUGUGAGAGCACGACCAGUCACACGGGCACUGAGACACGGGCCCG